UGCACAGGAAGCAGCCGCAGAGGCUUCGGGCGAGCUGCAGCAGCCGCCGAGAGCAGCUCCAAGCCUGCAGAUGCAACAAGCGGGUUUGAAGGAGAUUUUGGAAAGAGGAAAAGGCAAAGGAAACCCUGCCUUUGUUUGCCGAGCCGGUUUCAGGCCGUGAGGUGUCUCAGUGUUGUUGCAGCAGUCAGUCCUGUGCUGCUCCUGCCUCCCCGAAGUCUGGAAGCGGUAUCUUCUAGAUGUGGCGGCUGUGCCAGCUCCAUCAGUGGCAAAUCAAUUCCCGUAGUCCGUUUGAUCCUGUGGUCAACCAAAAACACAACUGAACCAAAUAAACCACCCUGAAAAGUAUUUUCUCCGUGUAUUGCUUGAGUUCUAGAAAAGGUGCAGC
Molecule: long non-coding RNA, 385 nt
Filed under: Apteryx owenii (little spotted kiwi)
Lineage: Eukaryota; Metazoa; Chordata; Aves; Apterygiformes; Apterygidae
Description: lncRNA (ENSAOWG00000007510.1)
Source: RNAcentral